AGAGUGGUUCUCUUGUGUAAUGA
RNAcentral lists this non-coding RNA (23 nucleotides) under Arabidopsis thaliana (thale cress). Lineage: Eukaryota; Viridiplantae; Streptophyta; Magnoliopsida; Brassicales; Brassicaceae. The record is from RNAcentral.